CCUACGGGUGGCAGCAGUGGGGAAUAUUGCACAAUGGGCGAAAGCCUGAUGCAGCAACGCCGCGUGAAGGAAGAAGGGUUUCGGCUCGUAAACUUCUAUCAACAGGGACGUAAGAAAUGACGGUACCUGAAUUUGAAGCCUCGUCUAACUACGUGCCAGCAGCCGCGGUAAUACGUCGGGGGCAAGCGUUAUCCGGAAUUAUUGGGUUAAAGGGGUGCGUAGGCGGACUGUUAAGUAAGCGGUAAAAGCACGGGGCUAAACCCCGGCGAGCCGUUGAAACUGGCUGUCUUGAAAUGUCGAGAGGUAUGCGGAAUGCGCAGUGUAGCGGUGAAAUGCUUAGAUAUUACGCAGAACUCCGAUUGCGAAGGCAGCAUACCGACGGCGAUCUGACGCUGAGGCACGAAAGCGUGGGUAUCGAACAGGAUUAGAUACCCUUGUAGUC
Molecule: ribosomal RNA, 442 nt
Filed under: uncultured bacterium
Lineage: Bacteria
Description: partial 16S ribosomal RNA
Rfam family: Bacterial small subunit ribosomal RNA
Source: RNAcentral